GGAACUCUGUGCCUGAGGAGGAUUGACUAUGUCAACAUUACAACAGGGCCAGGAGCUCUUUCUCCUCUGCCAUUCCACCCACGCUGCCUUGUUGCCAGAACACUAGGGACUGAAUCCUCUACAAACUGGUCUUCUCGGAUGCUGCAGGUGCCUGUCGGCCUCACUGCCGUGUAAGCGUGAUAUUAACAUCUCUGGAGCAAACCUUCAACCAGGAGGAGACAGGAGGUGGUGCACGAACGUCCCAACCAUCCGUCCUGCAAUGGCUAGUUUCGGAGGCUUCCUAUACGCCACUCAGGGGUCGCAGGGUCUCACACACAACAGACGCACACGCCAGCACUUCAGCUUCCCCUCUCUCGCUCCCCUCCUCCCUUGCUGCUGUUUCUGGCAACUUCCCUUCUCUCAAAUCCUUCUUUUCUAUUCUGUUCUUCUCAGGAAACCCAAAGUAAGUCUGCUUACUAAUUUUUAAGAAUUAAGAACAAUAAGAGGAGAAACAGUGGCUUUAGGAGGAAUAAUUAACAAGACUUCCUGACUGAUUCAAUUGGACAGAAGAAAGGGAUGGGAAAGGGAGAACAAAAUGUGGCGCCAUCAUCAAUAUCAAUCACCAUCUUUCAGUGUAAGCAAUUCCUAAAUACCUAUACUCAGCGUAUCUGCCCUGUUUAAAAGACAGGCUGGCCCCAUGGGGGCGCUAAAGAGCAAGAGACCAUUUCCUUUCUGGAUGCUGCAUGAAGUUUCUCUAUCCCCUUCCAGCCCUUCCCAGGGAUCUUUACGGAACAUCUAAGGACCAUCAUGAAAUCUCUAUAUCCAGCUUUCACGUGGCUCCAUGAAGUUCUAGUGAUACUGGGAGAAGAGAGAAGGGAAGGAAAAGGAUGGAGGACAGAAAGGGAAUGAAAAGCCAGGAGCACUCUUAUGUCCCUCUGUACUUCAGCUCCUAAGGGAUUAUAAGUGCUUCCCUCAUUAGCUUCCUCUCCAUUGAAACAUCACAGUUCAAAGAUUUCCUUAUCUGUGAAGAUAGGGACAUGUCAAGGGUAAACAUGCUGCUUUUUAUGCCAAUCCAAAUUUUCACCUGCAUUUACA
This is a long non-coding RNA of Chinchilla lanigera (long-tailed chinchilla), 1074 nucleotides long. RefSeq lists it as uncharacterized. Lineage: Eukaryota; Metazoa; Chordata; Mammalia; Rodentia; Chinchillidae. The transcript is spliced from 3 exons. The record is from RefSeq and is a predicted model, not a curated record.